CUGUCCCGCCUGUCCCGUCUGUCCCGCCCGUCCCGCCGGCAGCGCGGAGCCAGGGGCGAGCAGCGCCCGCGGCUGAGCCAGUUGCAAGAUGGGUGAAUGACACUAAAAAUCGUUGACACUUUCAUACGGCAACUCCACAGAUCUCUAACCAGGGGCCGCGUACAAUCCACCGAAAAAACCGACAGUACAGUUAUUUAAGAGAUCAAUGUAAACAGCAACAAAUCAACAUUCCUGCCAUUUCUCCGAAGAGGAAUCAAAACUACCCACUGCAGCUAGGGGAAUUUGCAAUUGAACAGAUGCAAACGACUUCAUAGCCCUGAGGAAAAUGGAAUUCAUUCACCAAUGUGUAGCUUGAGCUAAGCUAAUCCGAGUUGCAUAUCCAGUUCUCGAAGAGCUCUGAGUAGCAAUCAAUCUUCCUGCAUUCACCAAGUGAUUUGUUAAUCUGCAGUUUUCAUAACAUAAUAAAGAACAUAUGGAUUAACCAGCUAUUGUUCAUAACAGCCUGAUGAGCUUCUUAGAGUCUCUUGGUUACUUACUGAGUAUAACAGUAUCCAGUGCAGUGAAACAAACUGGGCAGUAUGGAUUACAUCAUGUCCUACCAUCUGGAAAGCAUUACAAUAUAAUCACUAAUACUGUGAAGCCUCCUGAAUCCGUUCUUCAUUUAUAACGCGACUGUUUGAGUUCCAGAAAGAGCAUCUGAAGAGUGAUCUGUAAAAUAUGUUACUGAAAUCCUAAGUAGGAUAU
Long non-coding RNA from Onychostruthus taczanowskii (white-rumped snowfinch), 744 nucleotides. RefSeq lists it as uncharacterized. The record is from RefSeq and is a predicted model, not a curated record. The transcript is spliced from 3 exons. Lineage: Eukaryota; Metazoa; Chordata; Aves; Passeriformes; Passeridae.